UCUGAUCGGAGUGCAGUUGUAAGC
This 24-nucleotide unclassified non-coding RNA is filed under the name Mus musculus (house mouse). Its description in RNAcentral is "oocyte_clustered_small_RNA10325". Lineage: Eukaryota; Metazoa; Chordata; Mammalia; Rodentia; Muridae. The record is from RNAcentral.